RNAcentral lists this unclassified non-coding RNA (18 nucleotides) under Mus musculus (house mouse). RNAcentral describes it as "oocyte_clustered_small_RNA9147". Lineage: Eukaryota; Metazoa; Chordata; Mammalia; Rodentia; Muridae. The record is from RNAcentral.
ACUUCCCGAGGAGCUGCC